RNAcentral lists this ribosomal RNA (481 nucleotides) under uncultured bacterium. Its description in RNAcentral is "bacterial SSU rRNA". It matches the Rfam family "Bacterial small subunit ribosomal RNA", at positions 28 to 507 of the family's 1533-position model. The record is from RNAcentral.
GACGAACGCUGGCGGCGUGCCUAAUACAUGCAAGUCGAGCGGACCCUUCGGGGUUAGCGGCGGACGGGUGAGUAACACGUAGGUAAUCUGCCCAACUGACUGGAAUAACGCCUGGAAACGGGUGCUAAUGCCGGAUAGGCAACUGGUAGGCAUCUACCGGUUGGGAAAGGUGCAACUGCACCGCAGAUGGAGGAGCCCGCGGCGCAUUAGCUAGUUGGUGGGGUAACGGCCUACCAAGGCGACGAUGCGUAGCCGACCUGAGAGGGUGGACGGCCACACUGGGACUGAGACACGGCCCAGACUCCUACGGGAGGCAGCAGUAGGGAAUCUUCCGCAAUGGGCGCAAGCCUGACGGAGCAACGCCGCGUGAGCGAAGAAGGCCUUCGGGUUGUAAAGCUCAGUCACUCGGGAAGAGCGGACGAGGGAGUGGAAAGCCCUCGUCGAGACGGUACCGAGAGAGGAAGCCCCGGCUAACUACGUG